CAAGUAGAACGCUGAAGAGAGGAGCUUGCUCUUCUUGGAUGAGUUGCGAACGGGUGAGUAACGCGUAGGUAACCUGCCUUGUAGCGGGGGAUAACUAUUGGAAACGAUAGCUAAUACCGCAUAACAAUGGAUGACACAUGUCAUUUAUUUGAAAGGGGCAAUUGCUCCACUACAAGAUGGACCUGCGUUGUAUUAGCUAGUAGGUGAGGUAAUGGCUCACCUAGGCGACGAUACAUAGCCGACCUGAGAGGGUGAUCGGCCACACUGGGACUGAGACACGGCCCAGACUCCUACGGGAGGCAGCAGUAGGGAAUCUUCGGCAAUGGGGGCAACCCUGACCGAGCAACGCCGCGUGAGUGAAGAAGGUUUUCGGAUCGUAAAGCUCUGUUGUAAGUCAAGAACGGGUGUGAGAGUGGAAAGUUCACACUGUGACGGUAGCUUACCAGAAAGGGACGGCUAACUACGUGCCAGCAGCCGCGGUAAUACGUAGGUCCCGAGCGUUGUCCGGAUUUAUUGGGCGUAAAGCGAGCGCAGGCGGUUUGAUAAGUCUGAAGUUAAAGGCUGUGGCUCAACCAUAGUUCGCUUUGGAAACUGUCAAACUUGAGUGCAGAAGGGGAGAGUGGAAUUCCAUGUGUAGCGGUGAAAUGCGUAGAUAUAUGGAGGAACACCGGUGGCGAAAGCGGCUCUCUGGUCUGUAACUGACGCUGAGGCUCGAAAGCGUGGGGAGCGAACAGGAUUAGAUACCCUGGUAGUCCACGCCGUAAACGAUGAGUGCUAGGUGUUGGAUCCUUUCCGGGAUUCAGUGCCGCAGCUAACGCAUUAAGCACUCCGCCUGGGGAGUACGACCGCAAGGUUGAAACUCAAAGGAAUUGACGGGGGCCCGCACAAGCGGUGGAGCAUGUGGUUUAAUUCGAAGCAACGCGAAGAACCUUACCAGGUCUUGACAUCCCGAUGCUAUUUCUAGAGAUAGAAAGUUACUUCGGUACAUCGGUGACAGGUGGUGCAUGGUUGUCGUCAGCUCGUGUCGUGAGAUGUUGGGUUAAGUCCCGCAACGAGCGCAACCCCUAUUGUUAGUUGCCAUCAUUCAGUUGGGCACUCUAGCGAGACUGCCGGUAAUAAACCGGAGGAAGGUGGGGAUGACGUCAAAUCAUCAUGCCCCUUAUGACCUGGGCUACACACGUGCUACAAUGGUUGGUACAACGAGUUGCGAGUCGGUGACGGCGAGCUAAUCUCUUAAAGCCAAUCUCAGUUCGGAUUGUAGGCUGCAACUCGCCUACAUGAAGUCGGAAUCGCUAGUAAUCGCGGAUCAGCACGCCGCGGUGAAUACGUUCCCGGGCCUUGUACACACCGCCCGUCACACCACGAGAGUUUGUAACACCCGAAGUCGGUGAGGUAACC
RNAcentral lists this ribosomal RNA (1398 nucleotides) under Streptococcus thermophilus. RNAcentral's name for it is "bacterial SSU rRNA". It matches the Rfam family "Bacterial small subunit ribosomal RNA". Lineage: Bacteria; Bacillati; Bacillota; Bacilli; Lactobacillales; Streptococcaceae. The record is from RNAcentral.